RNAcentral lists this long non-coding RNA (218 nucleotides) under Mytilus galloprovincialis (Mediterranean mussel). Lineage: Eukaryota; Metazoa; Mollusca; Bivalvia; Mytilida; Mytilidae. The record is from RNAcentral.
GCCUUGGUGGACGAGUUGCCUAACCAGUCAUAUUGGAUUCGUUUCGAACAAAUGAUGCUGAUUUGUUUUUGAAAAAAAAGAAACGGUUAUAAUUUUACUUAGCAAGAUUUAGUAUUUAUAAAAGAAAAAAAUUGUAAUGUUGGAUCAGCAAGUAAUUUUCAUUGUAGAAGAAUAUUAUAAAACAUUGUUCGAAAUACUCACGUUUAAAAUAAAAGGAC